Molecule: long non-coding RNA, 1204 nt
Filed under: Daphnia pulicaria
Lineage: Eukaryota; Metazoa; Arthropoda; Branchiopoda; Diplostraca; Daphniidae
Description: uncharacterized LOC124341488, transcript variant X4
Source: RNAcentral
GGCGUUAAAAGGAAGGUCCACCAUGGGGCCUAAUUUUGUUUUGACGCUUGUUUAAAGAUGGCUGUGUAUAGUAAAAGGAGUAAAAGUGCCACGUCGAAAUUCUGAUUGGAAGAAAAUUUUCGUUUCCACAAUUGAAAAGUACGGCGUUCUAUGCUUCCAGCAUACUUCAAGUCUGUCGAAAACGAUGAGUCAACUCAACUUACUUUCCCUGGGAUUGUUCGUCAUAAAAAUGAUAACAAGCCUACAAUUUACACUUGGCAAUACCAUUUGAUCAUGUAGCAUACCAUCUGAUCAUGUAGCCUGAAAAUGCUGUUUCCCAAGAGCAAGAUGUUGUCUCUUGCUGCUCAUACCGGCUGUAUGUUUCCUCACAUGUAGAAAUACUUCACAACACAUGGUGAAGUCUGAGCUUCUUCAUUGCAGUCCAAUGUGCUGUGCCAGUGUGAUUUGUUGCAGCCAGCUGGCGAAAGGUGUUCCUCUUACAGGCUGACUUGCUACCAGUACCAUUUGUAUGUUUGUCAUGCAGAAACACACACACUUCAAGUGCUGAUGUUGUCCUGGAGUGUGGGAGAGUUCCAUGCUUCAAGUCUUCUGGGAUCAGCCAUAUCUGAGUUGACGCUGGAUCAUGCUGCAUUGAGGUUGCCGAAAUGUGGACAUCUAGUAGAACUGCAAGAAGACUCCUUGAAAUGGUUUAUGUUUACGUAGCAGUGAUGUUGCUGUCCAACAUGGCAUGUUGUUGCAGCCUAUAGACUGGUGAAAGAUUUUGUAUCGAGUUAUGCUGUUGCUGUUCCUUGGUGCCGGACUGCUGGUGUUGUGCACAAAAGUUACAUCCAGUUUUAAUUGUUAUUUGUGUUUAUGCAGUUAACCGUUUAUAUGUUGAGAAUGAAAAAAAAAUAGCAAUACGGGGAAUUUUUACGUUGAACAAAUACUAAACAUGCCUUCGCGAUUGGGAAACCAGCGAGGAGGAGAUUGGGGGGGAGGGGGCAAUUGAUUUUCAUUAACUAGAAGAAGUCGUGUUUUGUUUUAACAAGUUAGAAAAAAAUCCUUUGUCUAUCACAUCCAUAUACCUACCUAGAUAACCACAUCUAUUCCUCAAACCCUAUAACUUCCACCAACAUCCAUUCCUUAAAACCACAUUUCCCCACAAAUGUCAAAUAUCUGUAAUAUGUACAUAUUAUUGUUCUAUAAUUAAACCAUCUUUGUAAUA